AUUUCCUUAGUAUAACUAAUACAAAUGACUUCCAAUUACUUAACCUCGGUGAAACCCCGAGAGGAAAUA
This 69-nucleotide transfer RNA is filed under the name Odorrana hainanensis. RNAcentral describes it as "tRNA-Gly". The record is from RNAcentral. Lineage: Eukaryota; Metazoa; Chordata; Amphibia; Anura; Ranidae.